GACGAACGCUGGCGGCGUGCUUAACACAUGCAAGUCGAACGGAAAGGCCCUGCUUUUGUGGGGUGCUCGAGUGGCGAACGGGUGAGUAACACGUGAGUAACCUGCCCUUGACUUUGGGAUAACUUCUGGAAACUGGGGCUAAUACCGGAUAGGAGCUCCUGCUGCAUGGUGGGCGUUGGAAAGUUUCGGCGGUUGGGGAUGGAAUGGCGGCUUAUCAGCUUGUUGGUGGGGUAGUGGCUUACCAAGGCUUUGACGGGUAGCCGGCCUGAGAGGGUGACCGGGCACAAUGGGACUGAGAGACGGCCCAGAAGGCUACGGGAGGCAGCAGUGGAGAGUAUUGCGGAGUGGGCGGGAGCCUGAGACAACGGCGCCGCGAGCGUAAUGACCGGCUUUGAGUUAUGAACAGAUGUCGAAGGAGACAAGGCGGGAGUGACGGUAAUGAGUAAAAAAGCACCGGCUAACUACGUG
This 468-nucleotide ribosomal RNA is filed under the name uncultured bacterium. RNAcentral describes it as "partial 16S ribosomal RNA". It matches the Rfam family "Bacterial small subunit ribosomal RNA", at positions 28 to 507 of the family's 1533-position model. The record is from RNAcentral.